Molecule: long non-coding RNA, 933 nt
Organism: Carassius gibelio (silver crucian carp)
Lineage: Eukaryota; Metazoa; Chordata; Actinopteri; Cypriniformes; Cyprinidae
Exons: 3
Source: RefSeq, a predicted model, not a curated record
UCAAGAUUUGUAUCAAAAGAGGUCAAGGUCAGUUUGGGUAAGAGUCACAGACAGAGUCUGAAGGCACAAACAGAGAUCAGCGAGAGCCAAAGAAGAGCAGCAGGGGGAAAUAUUGUUACUGAGCUGGAUGAAGAAAAACAAAUCUGUGUUGAUUUGGCACACAAAGGUGUCAGUGGUUGCUGCUGUCCUGCUGUUUCCACUUCUGUUAAAGGAGAGUCUGAGAUCUCUUUAUGUCAUCAGUGAGGAACCAGAUACACCCAACCCUGUGCUGUUUAUAAAGGGACAUGCCUUGGAUGCAGAGUCUCUUUAAGAAAUAAUGAUGGAAGUGAAGGAGGAGGUCUGUGAAGUAGACGAUGUGAACACAGCUCUACUCUUCAACUUCAACACUGAAUAUGCUUCAAAUUUGAGAGAUACCCUGACUUUUACUGAAAACUGUUUAAUGUAUCAACAAAAACCAAUAUGCCACCCACAAUGGCCAAUUAUUAUUAUUUGUUUUAUUAAAUUAAUGUGUAUGUAUAUAAAUGCAUGAUAUUUAUAUUUGUUUAUGUAUGUGUUUGGUAGUUUGUUUAGUAAUACAUAUUUAUGGAUGAUUGUUUAUUUAUUUGUGUUUGUUGGUUUGUUUGUAAUACAUAUUUAUGUAUUAAACAGUUUAUGGAGAAUCAUGGUGUUCUGUGUUUAUAGUGAAAUUGGAUUAGUAAUGUAUAAUAAUAAUAAUAACAACAACAACAAUAAUGUUAUUGCUAUCUAGAAAAGGGUUCAUAAAGGAACUGAUGAGGGUCAUUAAUGCACCUUUAAAUGAAGGUUCCAAUUAGAACCUUUUCAAAAAGGUUCAAAAAUGAACCUUUAAGGUUCCCCCACAGUUGCAAUCUCCAGGAACCUCAAAAGGUUCAUUUUUGAACCUUUUCUUCUAAGAGAGAGCACUUUAGCAUCCUG